Molecule: long non-coding RNA, 3640 nt
Organism: Oncorhynchus tshawytscha (Chinook salmon)
Lineage: Eukaryota; Metazoa; Chordata; Actinopteri; Salmoniformes; Salmonidae
Source: Ensembl
GGGAAACACUCCAACACUCCAACACUCAGACAUCAUUUACAGAUAGCUAGGGGUACACUCCAACACUCAGACAUCAUUUACAAACACAGUAUUUGUGUUUAGUGAGUCCUCCAGAUCAGCGGCAGUAGGCAUGACAACGCGUUAUAUUGAUAGGUGUGUGAAUUGGACCAUUCUGCCUGAGCAAUCGAAAUGUAAGCAGUACUUUUGGGUUUCGGUGAAAAUGUAUGGGAGUACAAAGUACAUAUUUUCUUUAGGAAUGUAGUGAAGUAAAAGUAAAAAAAUUGUCACAAAUAUAAAUAGUAUAGUAAAGUACAGAUACCGCAAAAAAACGACUUAAGUAGAAGUAUUUUUACUUAAGUACUUUCCACCACUGAGUAGUAGACACAAUCAUUUGAUUUUCCAUGUUCAGGAAGUGUUUUACUCAUUUCAAAUCAACUUGAAACAACACAUUUAGUGUCUGUUUGGCUCCCAGACCACAUCUGAGGUCAUGGAAGAAGAAUUCAUGAAUUACCCAGUACUUUAUCAGACUAAAAACAAACAAUAAUAAUGACUUUGGGAUAAUAAAGCUUGAUUUAAACAGGCACUGUGUUGUAAUAUUUAUUUAAUAUCUCUGUGUAAUGUGUGGACUGGCUUCUGUAUUUAUCUAGUAGAGUGAAAUUGCUCCCGAGUGGCUCAACAGUCUAAGGCACUGCAACUCACUACUAGAGGCAUCAAUUACAGACCCUGGUUCGAUCCCGGGCUGCAUCAUAACUGGCUGUGAUCGGGAGUUCUGUGUUUCUACCUGGUUCUCAUGCUGAUGGAGUUUUUAAAAGGACACACAGAGAGAGAGAGAAAGAGAGAUAUGCAUAAUUGGUCCAGCGUUGUCCGGGUUAGGGGAGGGUUUGGCCGUGGUGGGCCGUCAUUGUAAAAUAAGAAUUUGUUCUUAAUUAACAAACUUGCCUAAUUUAAAAAAAGUUUAAAUGAACAAAUAGAGUUAGUUUGGGAAACGUAGGCAUUACAUAUUUCACCUUGUAUUUGACUUUGGCCCUAGGAAGUAAUUACUGUCAUUUAGACAUGAUUGCAAUUAUUCAACAAAUCUCUCUUUCUCUCUUUCAGCAUGAGAACCAGGUAGAAACAGGUAUAUGUGCACACACAGCCUCUCAGACCCAGCCCAACUCAGUGUUCAGCAAGCUUAGUGAUGUGCCUUACAUGGUGUGCCAGAAGAGGCUGUCUCUGGGUGGAUCAAACACAGACCUCUCUCUCUUUGGCAGGUACAAAACCGCCAAGUCUCUGUCAGGUCUCUAGUAAUAACUGACCAGGUCUCUAGUAUUAACUAACCAGGUCUCUGUCAGGUCCCUAGUAAUAUCUGACUAGGUCUGUCAGGUCUCUAGUAAUAACUGACCAGGUCUCUAGUAAUAACUGACCAGGUCUCUGUCAGGUCCCUAGUAAUAUCUGACUAGGUCUGUCAGGUCUCUAGUAAUAAUUGACCCUGUCUGUCAGGUCUCUAGUAAUAACUGACCAAGUCUCUGUCAGGUCUCUAGUAAUAACUGACCAAGUCUCUGUCAGGUCCCUAGUAUUAUCUGACUAGGCCUGUCAGGUCCCUAGUAAUAUCUGACCAGGUCUGUCAGGUCUCUAGUAAUAUCUGACCAGGUCUGUCAGGUCUCUAGUAAUAACUGACCAGGUCUGUCAGGUCUCUAGUAAUAACUAACCAGGUCUCUGUCAGGUCUCUAGUAAUGACUGACCAGGUCUCUGUCAUGUCCCUAGUAAUAUCUGACCAGGUCUGUCAGGUCUCUAGUAAUAUCUGACCAGGUCUGUCAGGUCUCUAGUAAUAACUGACCAGGUCUGUCAGGUCUCUAGUAAUAACUAACCAGGUCUCUGUCAGGUCUCUAGUAAUAACUGACCAGGUCUGUUGGGUCUCUAGUAAUAACUGACCUGGUCUCUCAGGUCUCUAGUAAUAACUGACCAGGUCUCUAGUAAUAACUGACCAGGUCUCUGUCAGGUCUCUAGUAAUAACUGACCAGGUCUCUGUCAGGUCCCUAGUAAUAACUGACCAGGUCUGUCAGGUCUCUAGUAAUAACUGAUCAGGUCUGUCAGGUCCCUGGUAAUAACUGACCAGGUAUCUGCUAGGUCUGUAGUAAUAACUGACCAAGUCUCUGCCAGGUCUCUAGUAAUAACUGACCAGGUCUGCCAGGUCUCUAGUAAUAACUGACCAGGUCUGUCAGGUCUCUAGUAAUAACUGACCAGGUCUCUGUCAGGUCUCUAAUAAUAACUGACCAGGUCUGUCAGGUCUCUAGUAAUAACUGACCAGGUCUCUGUCAGGUCUCUAAUAAUAACUGACCAGGUCUGUCAGGUCCCUAGUAAUAUCUGACCUCCCUAUUUCUUCUACAGUCCAGCUUUAUUUUCCCUACUACCUCAAACAUCUAUCUGCCAGCAGCAGCACAGCUGUUCAAAUACUGUAGGUUAAAAAACACAACUCAAGGCUGCCUCCAAAAUGGCACCUUAUUCCCCAUUUUCCUAUGUACCCUGUCCAAAAGUACUGCACUAUUUAUACUAUACUGAACAGAAUUGUACGUCCAAAAUGUAAAGUGUUGGUCACAUGUUUCAUAAAAGAUCACAGAAAUGUUCCAUAUGCCCCAAAAAAUUAUUUCUCAAAAAUGUUGUGCACAAAUUAUUUUUCCAUCCCUGUCAUUGAGCUUUUCUCCGUUACCAUGGUAAUCCAUACAGCUGACAGGUGUGUCAUAUCAAGAAGCUGAUUAAACAGCAUGAGGUGCACAGGUGCACCUUGUGCUGGGGACAAUAAAAGGCCACUAAAAUAUACAGUUUUGUCACAUAAUUCAAUGCCACAGAUGUUUUUGAAGGAGAGUGCAAUUGGCAUGCUGACUGCAGGAAAUGUCCACCAGAGCUGUUGCCAGAGACUUUAAUGUUAAUUUCUCUACCAUAAGCCGACUCCAAAGUCAUUUUAGAGAAUUUGGCAGUACGUCCAACCGGCAGACCACAUGUAACUUGGAAACCAUGGCUCCCGAGUGGCGCAGUGGUCUAAGGCACUGCGCCAUAAGGAUUCAUAUAUCCUUAUGUACAUAUUCUUUAUCCCCUUACACUGUGUAUAAGACAGUAGUUUUUUGGAAUUGUUAGUUAGAUUACUUGUUCGUUAUUACUGCAUUGUCGGAACUAGAAGCACAAGCAUUUCGCUACACUCGCAUUAACAUCUGCUAACCAUGUGUAUGUGACAAAUAAAAUUUGAUUUGAUUUGAUUUGAUUAGAGGCGUCACGACAGACACCCUGGUUCGAUUCCAGGCGGUAUCACAAUUGGCUGUGAUUGGGAGUCCCAUAGGGUGACGCACAAUUGGCCCCGCGUCGUCCAGGUUUGGCCGGUGUCAUUGUAAAUAAGAAUUUGAUCAUAACUGACUUGACUAGUUAAAUAAAGGUUACAUUUAAAAAAGUUAAACAAAUAAGUACACGCUGGCCCAGAACAUUGACAUCUGGCUUCUUCACCUGAGGGAUCGUCUGAGACCAGCCAUCCUGGGUACCCUAUUCUGCACCGGGGCAUUAUCUGAGCAGACACCUGUCUACUGUAAUAUACCUGGUCACCCUAUUCUGCACCGGGGCAUUAUCUGAGCAGACACCUGUCUACUGUAAUAUACCUGGUCACCCUAUUCUGCAC